Molecule: ribosomal RNA, 253 nt
Filed under: uncultured bacterium
Lineage: Bacteria
Description: partial 16S ribosomal RNA
Rfam family: Bacterial small subunit ribosomal RNA
Source: RNAcentral
UACGGAGGAUCCAAGCGUUAUCCGGAUUUAUUGGGUUUAAAGGGUGCGUAGGUGGCUUAUUAAGUCAGGGGUGAAAGACGGUAGCUCAACUAUCGCAGUGCCUUUGAUACUGCAGGGCUUGAAUGUACUUGAGGUAGGCGGAAUGUGACAAGUAGCGGUGAAAUGCAUAGAUAUGUCACAGAACACCAAUUGCGAAGGCAGCUUACUAAAGUAUGAUUGACGCUGAGGCACGAAAGCGUGGGGAUCAAACAGG